Molecule: long non-coding RNA, 706 nt
Organism: Medicago truncatula (barrel medic)
Lineage: Eukaryota; Viridiplantae; Streptophyta; Magnoliopsida; Fabales; Fabaceae
Exons: 2
Source: RefSeq, a predicted model, not a curated record
UAUUUAUUCAGGCACUCAAGGUGUCAACUCAAUUUAAAGACACUGAGCUGCCAGUCAGAAUGAAAGUUGGGAAGCUCGCUGACAUUGUGAUGGGGAUCAUGACUUUGGGCAGCAACUCCCAGGCUUUGGGGAGUGAGGCUCAAGUGGAUGGUAAUGCCUAACAAAAUUUGGAGGAAAGAGUCAGGAAGGGGGUUGAUCUGCUAUGGCAGAACAGACACCCACAUUUCCAGUAUGGUGUUGGAUGGAAGUUUGCAACCCCACUUUUUUUUGCCCAUGCUGAAGGCAGAACCUCCUGCUUGGAGGUAGGAAUCAAAAUAGCAUAUGGUGGUGUGUUGCCCGCAAAGACAAGAAAGGUGAAUUUUAAGGCUAAGCAUUCUCAUGCACAGAAACAUAGCAUUUUCAAACCUGGUGGAAAAUUGAAUGGCAAAGGCUUAAUGGAGCUUAUGGGAAAACUCUGUGGAUACAAAUGGGAAAGUGAAAAUGUUGAUAGGUAAAAUAAUUGACAACACUUUUCUGAUGGACGAGAUCUAUCAAUUCAAGUGGUCAUUAGAUCCGACAGAGAAGAAGAUGCAGGCGGGUCUUUUCUUUACAGUUGAACGGUAGAAAUAAACCAAAUAAUACUAUUUGAUACAAUAGUAAUAUGUAAUGUUGGUGAUGCUUUAAACUUCCAUGUAUGAUGCCGACUUGACUUGCUCUUAAUCCUCGA